This 87-nucleotide small RNA is filed under the name Pseudomonas kilonensis. Lineage: Bacteria; Pseudomonadati; Pseudomonadota; Gammaproteobacteria; Pseudomonadales; Pseudomonadaceae. The record is from RNAcentral.
GUCGCUGCAAAAUCAGCGACCGGGUUUGACGGCCCGAGUACAUACAGGCGCACAGGCGCCCCCAUACCGAUUGCAGGCGCUUUUUUU